RNAcentral lists this ribosomal RNA (492 nucleotides) under uncultured bacterium. RNAcentral describes it as "partial 16S ribosomal RNA". It matches the Rfam family "Bacterial small subunit ribosomal RNA", at positions 29 to 507 of the family's 1533-position model. The record is from RNAcentral.
AGUGAACGCUGGCGGCAGGCCUAACACAUGCAAGUCGAACGGCAGCACAGUAAGAGCUCGCUCUUACGGGUGGCGAGUGGCGGACGGGUGAGGAAUACAUCGGAAUCUACUUUUUCGUGGGGGAUAACGGAGGGAAACUUACGCUAAUACCGCAUACGACCUACGGGUGAAAUCAGGGGAGCUUCGGACCUUGCGCGAUUGAAUGAGCCGAUGUCGGAUUAGCUAGUUGGCGGGGUAAAGGCCCACCAAGGCGACGAUCCGUAGCUGGUCUGAGAGGAUGAUCAGCCACACUGGAACUGAGACACGGUCCAGACUCCUACGGGAGGCAGCAGUGGGGAAUAUUGGACAAUGGGCGCAAGCCUGAUCCAGCCAUACCGCGUGGGUGAAGAAGGCCUUCGGGUUGUAAAGCCCUUUUAUUGGGAAAGAAAAGCAGCAGGUUAAUACCCCGCUGUUCUGACGGUACCCAAAGAAUAAGCACCGGCUAACUUCGUG